GGUUCAAUUCGAUGGUACGCGAGGAACCUUACCUGGGCUAGAAUGCGAGUGACCGGUCCUGAAAGGGAUCUUCCCCGCAAGGGGCACAAAGCAAGGUGCUGCAUGGCUGUCGUCAGCUCGUGCCGUGAGGUGUUGGGUUAAGUCCCGCAACGAGCGCAACCCCCAUCACUAGUUGCCAUCGGGUAAUGCCGGGGACUCUAGUGAAACUGCCUGCGUAAGCAGUGA
RNAcentral lists this ribosomal RNA (225 nucleotides) under uncultured bacterium. Its description in RNAcentral is "partial 16S ribosomal RNA". It matches the Rfam family "Bacterial small subunit ribosomal RNA", at positions 943 to 1167 of the family's 1533-position model. The record is from RNAcentral.